This 805-nucleotide ribosomal RNA is filed under the name Escherichia coli. RNAcentral's name for it is "partial 23S ribosomal RNA". It matches the Rfam family "Bacterial large subunit ribosomal RNA", at positions 377 to 1185 of the family's 2925-position model. The record is from RNAcentral. Lineage: Bacteria; Pseudomonadati; Pseudomonadota; Gammaproteobacteria; Enterobacterales; Enterobacteriaceae.
ACACAAAAAUGCACAUGCUGUGAGCUCGAUGAGUAGGGCGGGACACGUGGUAUCCUGUCUGAAUAUGGGGGGACCAUCCUCCAAGGCUAAAUACUCCUGACUGACCGAUAGUGAACCAGUACCGUGAGGGAAAGGCGAAAAGAACCCCGGCGAGGGGAGUGAAAAAGAACCUGAAACCGUGUACGUACAAGCAGUGGGAGCCUCUUUUAUGGGGUGACUGCGUACCUUUUGUAUAAUGGGUCAGCGACUUAUAUUCUGUAGCAAGGUUAACCGAAUAGGGGAGCCGAAGGGAAACCGAGUCUUAACUGGGCGUUAAGUUGCAGGGUAUAGACCCGAAACCCGGUGAUCUAGCCAUGGGCAGGUUGAAGGUUGGGUAACACUAACUGGAGGACCGAACCGACUAAUGUUGAAAAAUUAGCGGAUGACUUGUGGCUGGGGGUGAAAGGCCAAUCAAACCGGGAGAUAGCUGGUUCUCCCCGAAAGCUAUUUAGGUAGCGCCUCGUGAAUUCAUCUCCGGGGGUAGAGCACUGUUUCGGCAAGGGGGUCAUCCCGACUUACCAACCCGAUGCAAACUGCGAAUACCGGAGAAUGUUAUCACGGGAGACACACGGCGGGUGCUAACGUCCGUCGUGAAGAGGGAAACAACCCAGACCGCCAGCUAAGGUCCCAAAGUCAUGGUUAAGUGGGAAACGAUGUGGGAAGGCCCAGACAGCCAGGAUGUUGGCUUAGAAGCAGCCAUCAUUUAAAGAAAGCGUAAUAGCUCACUGGUCGAGUCGGCCUGCGCGGAAGAUGUAACGGGGCUAAA